UACGAAGGGUGCAAGCGUUACUCGGAAUUACUGGGCGUAAAGCGUGCGUAGGUGGUUCGUUAAGUCUGCCGUGAAAGCCCCGGGCUCAACCUGGGAAUGGCGGUGGAUACUGGCGGACUAGAGUGCGGUAGAGGGUGGUGGAAUUCCCGGUGUAGCAGUGAAAUGCGUAGAGAUCGGGAGGAACAUCGGUGGCGAAGGCGGCAUCCUGGACCGGUAUUGACGCUGAGGCGCGAAAGCCAGGGGAGCAAACGGG
Molecule: ribosomal RNA, 253 nt
Filed under: uncultured bacterium
Lineage: Bacteria
Description: partial 16S ribosomal RNA
Rfam family: Bacterial small subunit ribosomal RNA
Source: RNAcentral